RNAcentral lists this ribosomal RNA (471 nucleotides) under Clostridioides difficile. Its description in RNAcentral is "bacterial SSU rRNA". It matches the Rfam family "Bacterial small subunit ribosomal RNA", at positions 1 to 497 of the family's 1533-position model. The record is from RNAcentral. Lineage: Bacteria; Bacillati; Bacillota; Clostridia; Peptostreptococcales; Peptostreptococcaceae.
UUUUAUUUGAGAGUUUGAUCCUGGCUCAGGAUGAACGCUGGCGGCGUGCCUAACACAUGCAAGUUGAGCGAUUUACUUCGGUAAAGAGCGGCGGACGGGUGAGUAACGCGUGGGUAACCUACCCUGUACACACGGAUAACAUACCGAAAGGUAUGCUAAUACGGGAUAAUAUAUUUGAGAGGCAUCUCUUGAAUAUCAAAGGUGAGCCAGUACAGGAUGGACCCGCGUCUGAUUAGCUAGUUGGUAAGGUAACGGCUUACCAAGGCGACGAUCAGUAGCCGACCUGAGAGGGUGAUCGGCCACAUUGGAACUGAGACACGGUCCAAACUCCUACGGGAGGCAGCAGUGGGGAAUAUUGCACAAUGGGCGAAAGCCUGAUGCAGCAACGCCGCGUGAGUGAUGAAGGCCUUCGGGUCGUAAAACUCUGUCCUCAAGGAAGAUAAUGACGGUACUUGAGGAGGAAGCCCCGGC